UCUCCUCUGCUUCUUCCAACCGUGAUGUGUUUCUGAGUUUCAGAAGCCAAGGUCCUUGGAGAGAGAGUAGACAAUG
Molecule: microRNA precursor, 76 nt
Filed under: Fragaria vesca subsp. vesca
Lineage: Eukaryota; Viridiplantae; Streptophyta; Magnoliopsida; Rosales; Rosaceae
Description: Fragaria vesca miR11286 stem-loop (fve-MIR11286)
Source: miRBase by way of RNAcentral